This 485-nucleotide ribosomal RNA is filed under the name uncultured bacterium. RNAcentral describes it as "bacterial SSU rRNA". It matches the Rfam family "Bacterial small subunit ribosomal RNA", at positions 327 to 805 of the family's 1533-position model. The record is from RNAcentral.
AACCGAGAACUCCUACGGGAGGCAGCAGUGGGGAAUUUUGGACAAUGGGCGCAAGCCUGAUCCAGCAAUGCCGCGUGAGUGAAGAAGGCCUUCGGGUUGUAAAGCUCUUUUGUCAGGGAAGAAACGGUGGGAGCUAAUAUCUCCUGCUAAUGACGGUACCUGAAGAAUAGGCACCGGCUAACUACGUGCCAGCAGCCGCGGUAAUACGUAGGGUGCAAGCGUUAAUCGGAAUUACUGGGCGUAAAGCGUGCGCAGGCGGUUGUGUAAGUCAGAUGUGAAAUCCCCGGGCUCAACCUGGGAAUUGCAUUUGAGACUGCACGGCUAGAGUGUGUCAGAGGGGGGUAGAAUUCCACGUGUAGCAGUGAAAUGCGUAGAUAUGUGGAGGAAUACCGAUGGCGAAGGCAGCCCCCUGGGAUAACACUGACGCUCAUGCACGAAAGCGUGGGGAGCAAACAGGAUUAGAAACCCGUGUAGUCCGACUGAGA